This 1746-nucleotide long non-coding RNA is filed under the name Homo sapiens (human). RNAcentral describes it as "HSALNT0003970". The record is from RNAcentral. Lineage: Eukaryota; Metazoa; Chordata; Mammalia; Primates; Hominidae.
AAGCAAUUCUCCUGCCUUGGCCUCCCAAAGUACUGGGUUUACAGGUGUGAGCCACUGUGCCCAGCUCUCAUACCUCGUCUUGAUGCAGUAGAAGUAGUGGUUAAGCCUGGAAUCAGAUCUUGGUUUUCCCUCUCUGAGCCUCAGUUUCCUCAUCUGUAGAGUAGACUUCCUUCACGGGUGGUUGUGAGGAUUUAAUGUAUGUAUAGGGAUAAGGCCCAGAACGUAAGUAAACUCUAAGUACAUGGUAAGUGGCAGUCACUGCUUACAAGUGGAGCCAGGGUUCAGGGUCAGAGCUAGAGACCUACAGGGAAGAGUAGGUGAGCUGUCGGGGCUAGUGAUGGAGAGAGAGAAGAGACUGGAGAUCCAGCUUGGGGAUCCCCUUGCUUCCUGGCCCAGGAGCCACCAUGGAGAGUGAGAAGCUGCCAGAGAAGCAGGAGGAGGAUGGAGAGAAUGUGCUACCAUGGAAACUGGAGGAGGAGGGCGUUCCCAGGAGGAGGGAGUGAUGGAUAAUGUCAAGUGUCAUAAGAGAGGAUGCGAGUAGGGAGGGCAGGAGGGUGAUGGGAGCUCUCCAAUUUAGUUUUUUACAUGGCCCAGGCAGCCCCCAAGCCUGGAUCAAAUCCCAGCUCUCAAGCUAACUGGCUGUGUGACCUAGACAAGGGAUUUGCCUUCUCUGAGCUUCAGUUUCCUUCUAGAGUUGAGAUGUGGGAAUUGGUCCAUCUCUAAUACGAUCAUCAGCCUCACUUAAUAAGAGUCCUAGCUUUGCCGAAUUCUUGGCCACGUGCUAGCAGUGUGAUCUUAGGCAAGUCACUUCACCUCCACGAGAGCACUCUCUGAAAGCUAGAGAUAUGGUAAGCAAAGUGCCACCAAAGUGCCUGGCACAUAGUGGGGCCUCGAUACAGGCUUAUUCUCUGAUAAUUACACGUGUGCCAGAGGCAGCUGCUCUAAGGAGGCUUGCUGGGCUUGGAAUUAGAAAUGCUCCUCAAGGGCUGGGAUUACAGGCAUGAGCCACCGUGCCCAGCCCAACCCAUGGUUCUUAAUGCUGCAGGUGGGUCCGGAGAAAGGCUUUUCUCUUUUAACCAUCUCCUUGAAUUUCAGAAGGUGGGACAACAUGUGCUGGAAAGCAGUUCUUAAGAGGACAUCUUUUCCCAAGCUCCUUAGCCUUAGCUGUCCUCUCCUGCCCUCACCAGGACUGCCCUCUCAGGGACCCAAGAGGAAGGGACAGCCUGGAAAGGAAGAAGGUCCCGGGCCAUCUGCGUCAUGGGGAUGGAGUCCCUUGGCGUGUGCCGGUGCAAAUACACUCCUGUAACGGGGCUCAUCUAGAAUCUCCUCUCGGAAUGAGGAGACCGCAAAUGUGGUUUUGAAUCUUCAUUGUCCACUUCAUUGCUGUGGUGUUGGGCAGGUCUCUGUCCCUCUCUGGGCCUCUGCACGAUGGAGGGGUAGGAGUUGAUGGUUCUGAAGGCUCUGCCAUCCUGGAAAAGAACUGAGACACUUCCCUCAUGUUCCUGGGUCCCAGAAACAGACAUCUGUUGGUAAAAUCUACUGGGCAUUUGCCCAGAGACAGGGAAAAGAAUGCCUGGGGGUCUGUAAUAGGAGCUGCCCCAAUUAGGGGCAGGGAGGCGGGCAUGUAAAAAAGGAAGCUUAAAGCUUUGUUUUCAGGCUUUUUGCCUACCCCAGGCUCCAUCUUGGUACCAAGUACUCAACCUUCUGUUUUCUCAAUAAAGUGAGCCCUCUUCUCGGUGUCUGCAU